RNAcentral lists this ribosomal RNA (319 nucleotides) under uncultured eukaryote. RNAcentral's name for it is "partial 18S ribosomal RNA". It matches the Rfam family "Eukaryotic small subunit ribosomal RNA", at positions 1470 to 1796 of the family's 1831-position model. The record is from RNAcentral.
UCCUUAGAUGUUCUGGGCUGCACGCGCGCUACACUGGUGCAUCCAACAAGUUUUUUCCUUGUUCGAGAGGACUAGGUAAUCUUAUGAGAAUGCAUCGUGAUGGGGAUAGAUUAUUGCAAUUAUUAACCUUCAACGAGGAAUUCCUAGUAAGCGCGAGUCAUCAGCUCGUGCUGAUUACGUCCCUGCCCUUUGUACACACCGCCCGUCGCUGCAACUGAUUGGGUGACCUGGUGAACAUCUUGGACCGGCCCACUCAAUUUCGAGAGGACUGGAAAAGGCCGUAAAUCAGGUACAUCUAGAAAUUGCAAAAGUCGUAACA